CUUAGCAUGCAAGUCGACGGCAGCAUAGGAGCUUGCUCCUGAUGGCGAGUGGCGAACGGGUGAGUAAUAUAUCGGAACGUGCCCUAGAGUGGGGGAUAACUAGUCGAAAGACUAGCUAAUACCGCAUACGAUCUACGGAUGAAAGUGGGGGAUCGCAAGACCUCAUGCUCCUGGAGCGGCCGAUAUCUGAUUAGCUAGUUGGUGGGGUAAAAGCCUACCAAGGCAACGAUCAGUAGCUGGUCUGAGAGGACGACCAGCCACACUGGGACUGAGACACGGCCCAGACUCCUACGGGAGGCAGCAGUGGGGAAUUUUGGACAAUGGGGGCAACCCUGAUCCAGCAAUGCCGCGUGAGUGAAGAAGGCCUUCGGGUUGUAAAGCUCUUUUGUCAGGGAAGAAACGGUAGUAGCGAAUAACUAUUACUAAUGACGGUACCUGAAGAAUAAGCACCGGCUAACUACGUGCCAGCAGCCGCGGUAAUACGUAGGGUGCAAGCGUUAAUCGGAAUUACUGGGCGUAAAGCGUGCGCAGGCGGUUGUGUAAGUCAGAUGUGAAAUCCCCGGGCUCAACCUGGGAAUUGCAUUUGAGACUGCACGGCUAGAGUGUGUCAGAGGGGGGUAGAAUUCCACGUGUAGCAGUGAAAUGCGUAGAUAUGUGGAGGAAUACCGAUGGCGAAGGCAGCCCCCUGGGGAUAACACUGAC
RNAcentral lists this ribosomal RNA (702 nucleotides) under Herbaspirillum sp. RNAcentral describes it as "bacterial SSU rRNA". It matches the Rfam family "Bacterial small subunit ribosomal RNA", at positions 49 to 744 of the family's 1533-position model. Lineage: Bacteria; Pseudomonadati; Pseudomonadota; Betaproteobacteria; Burkholderiales; Oxalobacteraceae. The record is from RNAcentral.